AGUGAACGCUGGCGGUAGGCCUAACACAUGCAAGUCGAACGGCAGCACAGUAAGAGCUUGCCCUUACGGGUGGCGAGUGGCGGACGGGUGAGGAAUACAUCGGAAUCUACUUUUUCGUGGGGGAUAACGUAGGGAAACUUACGCUAAUACCGCAUACGACCUACGGGUGAAAGCAGUGGAUCUUCGGACCUUGCGCGAUUGAAUGAGCCGAUGUCGGAUUAGCUAGUUGGCGGGGUAAAGGCCCACCAAGGCGACGAUCCGUAGCUGGUCUGAGAGGAUGAUCAGCCACACUGGAACUGAGACACGGUCCAGACUCCUACGGGAGGCAGCAGUAGGGAAUAUUGGGCAAUGGGCGAAAGCCUGACCCAGCCAUACCGCGUGAGUGAAGAAGGCCUUCGGGUUGUAAAGCCCUUUUGUUGGGAAAGAAAAGCAGUAGGUUAAUACCCCGCUGUUCUGACGGUACCCAAAGAAUAAGCACCGGCUAACUUCGUG
Molecule: ribosomal RNA, 492 nt
Filed under: uncultured bacterium
Lineage: Bacteria
Description: partial 16S ribosomal RNA
Rfam family: Bacterial small subunit ribosomal RNA
Source: RNAcentral